GGAGGGGCUGUCUCAGUGGCAGAACGUCUAAUUGACAUACAGAAGGUCCCAGGUUCAAUCCCUGGCAUCUCCA
RNAcentral lists this transfer RNA (73 nucleotides) under Sphaerodactylus townsendi. RNAcentral describes it as "tRNA-Val". It matches the Rfam family "tRNA". Rfam says of the family: Transfer RNA (tRNA) molecules are approximately 80 nucleotides in length. The record is from RNAcentral. Lineage: Eukaryota; Metazoa; Chordata; Lepidosauria; Squamata; Sphaerodactylidae.